AAGCCCCGGCACCCUUUCUGGGUGCUUGCCAGAUUUGCACUCUGG
This 45-nucleotide transfer RNA is filed under the name Pseudogekko smaragdinus. RNAcentral describes it as "partial tRNA-Cys". The record is from RNAcentral. Lineage: Eukaryota; Metazoa; Chordata; Lepidosauria; Squamata; Gekkonidae.